RNAcentral lists this ribosomal RNA (6382 nucleotides) under Triticum aestivum (bread wheat). RNAcentral describes it as "partial small subunit ribosomal RNA". Lineage: Eukaryota; Viridiplantae; Streptophyta; Magnoliopsida; Poales; Poaceae. The record is from RNAcentral.
UACGAGCGGAGGGCGUAGGGCGGGUUCGCGACGUGGCGGCGGCAGGGCAUGCUCGACCUCGGGGGGCGGCGGCGGCGGCUCCCGUACGGCGGGCGGUUCGCGGCGGCCCUCGCGCAGGACGGGAGCGCCAAGUCCCUGAGCCGGCAGGAGGACGGCGGCGGGCGGUUCUUCCGGACGUUCCGGGGGCGCGGCGGGUUCCAGCUCCUGUCCCUGCCGGUCCACAUGCUCCACCUCCACGCGCGGCAGCCGGGCUUUCCGAGGCGGAAACCCCGGCACGUCUGGCUCCACACCUGGCCGCUCGGGCGCGUCUGCCUCCUCCUCGACAUGGCCCGUACGGCCUUGUAGUCGUCCUCGCCGUCAAGCCCGACAAAGUCACCUUCGCAACAGUGAAGGCACUCGUUACGACCACUCUUUACGCGCGGCCUCUUCUGCGGGCACCACCCGCGACACCAGGGCAGGUGCUCGUUACGACCAUGACCUUUACAGCCCGACCUCCCCUCCAGGGGCCACCACCUCACGUUCGGUUUCGUCCUCCGGCUCCAGUCCUCUCUCCUAAAGAUGACCGGUCUCCUAAAACACGAGCCCCUGCACCACACCCGUUCCAGCCCCUUCUUCUCGGGGCGCACCGGCCGCAAUCACUAGUUGGGCGACGUCGUGCGGGGCCUCCAACACGAGUUGAGAACGCAGGGGCCGCGCGAGACGCAGUACAAGAAGCCAAUGAGACGGCCGCCGGUUUUGUCCCUGAUACCUACCCAGUUCGUUCCCUACUAGAAAGGGAAACACCUCAUGGAUCUAUCCAAGGUCCCUGUUAGAGAGGUAUUCGAAUUCGAGUUCGGUUCGUUUAAGGCACGUCGUUAACUCCUCCGAAAGGAACGGCUCGCGCCGAAAAAACUCGAGGUUUACCUGCCCCAGACGAGAGACCUGUUCAGACACUUACUCGUCAGACAGUGGCUACCGCGUGCACUUCACUGACCAAGAUUAUUGCUCGUCCUCACAGUUAGAGUAAGAGUCCAACAGCAAUUUAAUCGUCGUACAACGCUAUCGACGCCAUUAGCAGAAGGUAGGUUCUAAAGUUUCUUUUUCUUCGUUCUUUGUCUCGUCAAUGAAACAUCCGUGACACUUUUCGAUAACGUCAGUUUCGUUAUGACACCGUAUACGUUCUUUUAAACCGUAGUGUGUCUACCGCCUUUGACCCAUACGACACUACUCACGGUCUAAACCCAAGUACAUCUUACGCUGGCCUGUACGUCACUGGACCUCCUAAAUCUUUUAUGGCUCAUAAAGACAGGACUAACAUUCAGAUUUGCGUUCUCUCAUUACUUUCAACUUGUUUGCUCGUGGAGGUUAUCAAGUCUUAAACGGUCGUGAAGUUUCCUUUUCAACGGACUUAGGUAUGGACACACGACGAGACCCUACCUUCGUAACAUGAACGGUCUUUUCGUGUACUAUAAUACACUUACGUCCAGAACGUUCUUUUUCUACUACUGAGACUUACUCACCCUCUCCGUAUGACCGAGUUCCUUCUUUUUAACCUUCUACUCAUAAUUUGAGUUCCCGUGACCCCUCGGUGAUUAACUGAACGAAGUACUAUAAGGCCCACCUUUAAAGUUCAGAAGAUGGGGUCCGUAAUUCUUUCUUCUCAACGAAAGUAAUGUUCGUUUGAGAAUGUCAGGUCAGAUACGAUUUACCUGUUGACUUGCAACACGACAGACAGCCACCCAACUCCUAACCCUGAUGUUGUUUUAAUAGUAAACAUUGUCUACAGUUUAUCGACAGGUAGUUCUCACGAUACCUCGAGCACAGCAUGUCCUAAAUUGAUUAACCCAAACAGCUCGAACACUUGACGGGGUUGUUUUUUUCCUCACGACGGAUACGGGACAUUUUCCACCACGAGAGUUCGGUUGACUAUAACUGGUUGACACCCAAGUACAGUACACACGGACCAUAGUCGGAUUUCAGAGGAAAGGACAACUGCUCUGUUACCUCGGUCGACACCCGUAUAACUCGUAGGGAAGACUCAUGAAAUUCUUCUGUACAUAGUAUACGUUCGUCUACGUACCCCGGACGUGGGUCACGAUGUUCACAAGAUGAAUAAUAGUACGUUGUACACGUAGUUCUCGACCUAUAGCGUACCUCAACGUUAUGAGACUCUCUUUACCAUCCUUCCACUGAUUUUACCAGAGGAUGACACGCAAAGUGUCAUGAGGACUGGGUCUAUUACACAACUAUCACUUCUGUGGUCUACCUCACAAGAGGUGGUUUAAAAACGAGGUUUUGUUACUCUUUGUUAGAGGACGUUCUGAUCGAUUCUCACUUUUAGUGGUCCUCCAAAAAGGACGACUUCAAAGACUAACGGGUCGACGUUCCACGGAUGGAAUACUUUAGAACUUUUUGUUCUUUGUUGUUCCUCUCCGUCAACGGGUAGCUUAUUACCCUGGGGCUGUGGUGAGAGUUCUAAACUAACUCCGAAACUUGUGUAUGUACGUCCUGGUCUUCCCGCUGGCUGGAAAACGAUGCAAGUUUCUUUCCGAAGUUAUAAAUGUCUCUUGACUUUUAUUCUCCCAGAGAACACCAGCUAGACCUCAUGUACCUACCCCCGAGAAACGACAAUCCUUUUAAGUUCUCCCCGUUUACCACUAGCUUAUAGCACCCCUGGUUCAGUCUGCAUCACAACGACUAAACUCCCUUCGUGCUAUAGUGUUCCUUUUAUUUCUGACGAUGGACAAGUUUUAUUCACUUCUACAACACUAACUACGAUGCCUCUCUCCUUUGUAGCGGGCGUAUUAAUUGGUGAGCACGUACGGAUUGACGAUGCGCUCCUAGCACUCGCAGCCGCUGUUGUUCUCGGUCUAUUAAGACUAACGGUCUUCUCUACAGAGUCGGCCUCUUCUUAACUGCAUACUGAUGUUUAAACUGGGCCUGCUCAGCCUCCUAGCGUUCCAAGGGACGGACACAUUUCGGGGAUUGACGGCACCUAUGUACUUGACUUUAAAGACUGUUCCUGAUUGGUUGGGGUUAAUGUCACCGCUUCGCGGUGUGUGUAAGUAGGUCUAAGAAAGUAGCAGAACACGUACCGGCGGUCGUACGUUGGUCGAAUCGAACACAAAAAAAUCAGUGUCCUAAAACGAUCGAUCGCUCCAUCCCGAAAUGGUCCGAUCCGUUCUUUUUCUUCGUAUUUGACCGCAGGUGUCGGUCCGUAACAUUUAAGAAGUAACGACGUUAUUUAACUACUAAAGAGAACACUUGUUUUCUUUUCUUUUCUUUUCUUUUCUUUUCCUUAGGUUUUCCUUUCUUCUACAGGUUAACACAACUACGUUAUAUAUAAAGCACACUGCAGAGUCUACGACUCCUCUCGAAUUAAUACAACACAAUGACGACGACAAGGAACCACAUGCGCGACAAAGACCAAAGUCUUCUAUCCUACGCACACCACGACGAAGGCGGGGGCGCCGUACGGAAGCAGGGCCUCUACCCCGGUGAUAGGAAGCCACCGGUCUUACAGUCGCUGGGCAGGCGGAGGGGGCGCCCAGCUGAGCUUCGUCGCACUUGGCAUCGCAGAGACGAGGCGGUCAUGGCGGAGGGUGCGGGCGGCGGCGCGGCACCAGGUGCCGCGAGCGGUAACGAGCGAACGGUGCUGCUCCGUCAGCCAGCCACCAGCUCCUCUCUCCUAAAAUUUUUCGCCCGCUCCUUCUACGUGAAUGAGCAGCACGGGUGUACGACGACGAAGGGGUGGUGAAGCAGGCGCGGCGUUGGUGGUAGCGAGGGCGCCGUCGACAGAGCGUCGGAGCCGGUGAGGCGCAGCGGCGCGAAGCCGGAGGGGAAGGCGGCCCGGCGCCACGGGGGGCGGUACGCGGCGGCGCCCGCUGCCUCCCGCCGCCGGGGAGGAGGCCGGCGGCGGCGUAGUCUCCGGAGGUCGCUGAGGGGACCGGGAGGUCCUCCGCUCCUGUUCUCUCGACCAUGUCUGGAGUUUUGCGAUCGAUCUUCUAAAACCUUUCAGCGGCGGGGAAUGACCACCAGUCUCCUGUUCCAGGUUCGUUCCGAAGUCGAACGACCACAUAAACGAGAGUGCAACCGCUGAUGUCCCUAAUCACAACCUAAGUUGAAAGACCCAGCACUAAAGAUGUUGCGGGAACGGCUGUUCCUGGUCCUUGUUAAAUGGUUCGUUGACGACAUGAUGAACCCUCCAAAGCGACAUCCUCAAGGCAAGAAACAGAACUCCCUGAUACGUUCUCUUUGGGAGAGAAAUUCUACCGCUAGAACCUACUGCUCAAUAAUGUACUUCGCGAUGAAAUUCUUGUCUUGUAAGAUGUUCUAAGUCAGAGUUAGUGAUUAUCUGUUAGGUCUGGUCGCCUAGUUACUACUGGAUUCACGUAAGUGACCUUGACGCGAACGCAAAAGGGACUGUGAAGAGUUACGACAGCACCUAAACCAUAGUAAGUCGUUAUAGGAAAUACCCUAGAUAGGUGGUAAUAAGUAACAAGAAUAACAAAUAAGAGAACCUCCCUGGCGAUAAUCACAGAAGGAACCAUUCUCAAACCAGUUGAACUUGAAGUACGUUCUUUUCUUUCUUCGCCUAAAGGCAAUGCCCGAACAGGCACAAUCUCUUUUGCGACUUAGUUAACGAAAAAUGCCACCACUCCUUUUACUUGACGUUGAAGACAACCUAGCCAAGUCCUCCCGAAUGCUUUUGGAUUCACUUAAUGACUAUCGUAGGGCCUUAGACCUCAAGAAGUGGUUACCAAUGGCUAUAAAUUAAGUUUAGGACGGUCGACGUCAACAACGAGGUUACAAGAAACGUCCUUUUUAGCUCAAACCUCAUUAUUUGGUUAGCCACAGACGAAAGUUAGUGUAGGAGUCACUAAAAAGAGAGUAACAAAAGGUCAAAGUCAGUUAAUCACGUAAGAGUCGACAGUAACUAGCAAAUCCACUUAAACUACUAGAUAACCCACUUUUACUCAGAAGAGAUAGUGGGGUUGCACUAUCGUAACUACCCUAGUUGUAGAGAAAGUUCUCGCCGUCAGGAAGACAAGAAUCAAGAUUACCUAGUGUUUACGUUAGACUCGGUCCGUAUCAAGAUCUCUAAACACUAAACUGUAACAAUUGUGGAUCCCCACCUUUAUAAGAAUAGUGACUGAAGUCAUACCUUAAUUUUCUGUUCCUGGUGGAUGACCACUACCCUGGGUCGCCGACGCCCUUCUGGAGUAACGAGGCACGAAACCGACCGGAAACCUGAUCACCGUGACCCUUAUAGUAUAUGGUACGGUCUCUAAGAUCCGUCGAAGUCUGUCGUUUAAAUCCAAGAUUACUCGGUAGGUUGUAUUUCGGCCUCCCACUUCUUGAUAACGUUUCAAGGUUCGUCUCUUCUCUAUUACCGUAUAAAAAACAGGGUGUUUCUGGUAUAUACCAAAACCCAUGAGAAGCAGUCGUUAACGAGAUAGGAUGUACCUGACGUCUAUGCGUAGUCAGUGGUUGAUUACUGCGAGUCUGUUUUCGAGGAGAAAGGAAAGACAGACUUCAGAGGUGCAGUCUACCCAACCCACGGUUCGGACUCUACGGGAGUUGACUACUUGACUAGUCUCAUGAACUCCAACAAUCCGACCCGAUGUAUAACGGUGCAAAGUUACCGUAACUAAGACAGGUACUAACCCGGUCACAAGAAAGCGAUCCCCUCGUCGUCGCAGAACGUAAGCGAGCCAAUAAUGAGCGUUUUGGUUGAGACCAGGAUGACCUGCUCAGGUGUUCACGUGAUCUACUGUAUUUGCUCCAAGUAGAUAUGUCAGUCUAACUUCGACGUCCCUAGUGUAUAUAUUCACAGCCAGUGGCCUCUUGUGAAGUGUCCAAGGUGUUGUUCCAAAACAUGUAAAGUUUCAGACUAAACUGUUGACCGUCGGGAGCAUUGACCCUCGAUUUCGGGUGUCUAGUCUUUAGUUAACUUCUUAGUAGGGGUAAGUGUAGUAUUCUUGAAGUCGUACGCUUGGUCAAAUCCGGGGAAAGAGUUAAAAGAAUAGGGUGUAAAUUGGGCGAUACCAUUUAUAACUAAGGGAUGGUUCCUAGGGUACCGGUGUUCAAGCAGCAAUGUUGAAUGUUUGACUUCGACCUUACAACUGCUCCAAUUAGAAUGUCGACCUGACCGUUUUAACACCGUCACGAUGAUUGGUUGGACAAUCGUCCUAUGUGAAAUCCUGGACCUUUUUAGAGUGGAAAAACAAAUACAAAUACGAAACUAUCAAAUCUUACUUGAUAUCGUAUACAAAUACAUACCAACUAUAACGUGACGACAAUGGUUUUGUAAAAGUAAAAAUAGACUCAAAAGAGACGACUAAAUAAAGUGCGAACUGUCAACAUUAAAAACAAAGUAACAACCAAAUAGAACAACAAGACG